CAAUAAGGCUAUGUAAGAAACAACCACAAAACGCAGUGGCUUACAGCAAUAAGCAUUUAUGUAAGUCGUGAGUGUGUGGGUCAGGUGGAGAGUUCAGGUCCCAGGGAGACUCUCAUUUGUGUGCACUCCGUUAGCAGAGUGACUUUGCUCAUCUUGGCUGGGCUCUCUCACGUAUCUGGGACCUCAGCUUGGGUCUGUGUGGUCUCUCAUCCUAGCAGCUAGCCCAGGUUUGGGCUCAUGCCCAAGGCAGCAUUCCAAGAGAGGGAGUGAAGCGCGCGGGGCCGCUGGAUGCCUAGGCUUGGAUACGGCAUGCCACUCCUUUUGCUUCAUUUUAUGGGUCACAGCAAGUCAGAAGGCCAGUCCAGAGGCAAGAAGUGGGGACGCAGACUCUACUGCUUGAUAAGGAGAGCUACAAUUCAGAGUUAAGAGGAUAGCUACACAGGGGAAUAGGUGGGUCUACUUUUGCAACCAAAUGCUGUAAUUUUAGAUUGACCCAGACUCUUUGACUCUUAGUAAGAGUAUGCAAAUUCCAGGGCACACUAGAAGUGGGUCUUGAUUUUAAUGCUGUCACCUUCGGGAGACAACUGGGCUGCAAACCAUAGCCACUCUUCGUUAUUUGCACAUCAGUCACCCAAGGCGAAUGUUUCAAAUGUGGAGCUCUGUCCCCUCCUGGCUCCUUGUUGGUGGGGUUUCUGACAGGGAUCCUGAACAGGACUCUGAAAUGGCCGUUUACAGAGAAACGUGUGGUAGGGGGAUGCUGACCAGAGGCCCAGCCCACUUCUCCCCCUGCUGCCUGUGUUAAUCGACAUGAGCCCUGCAGAGUGACAGUGGCUCCCUUAGUGGGAGGUAGGAGGUUAGAUUAGGUGUUGGGAUCAGUCAGGCUGGCGAGGAAGCUAGUCUGAAGAGGGAAACCAGCUAGCUAUAAGUCUGGGCCACAGAGCCCAGGCAGGCAGGGAUCACUGCCAUGAGGGGGCCCCACCCAAGGAAGAGCAGCUGCUCGCUCUAGGAAGCUGUAUAGACUCAGGCUAUGGGGCGGGAGGGGAGACUCAGGUGCUCCCACUCUAGGGAAGACUGCCUGGUGUUAAACUGCCAGAGUUCAUUUUAGAAGCUCUGCUUUCCACAGGAGAAACUGGGCCUCCUCACCCAUGUAUGUGGCCGUGCCAGGGGGCUCAGGUGGGGCUGUGUCUUGACUGCAAAGGGAGCUGCUGGCUCUGGGGGUAAAUUGCCUACAGUGGCCACUUUCUCCUAGGCCUUACUUGCCCCUUCACGUUGGGGAGACCGAUUUUCCUACUUCUAUGUAAAUAUGUUAAGGGUUUACUUUCCAAGCUCCAACCAGGAUUCUAAAGAAGCAGCCAAUAACGCUUUGCUAUUUCAGGGUGUAGCCGUGCAAAUAAAUCCUCUUUCAGAAGUCAAAAGCAGUUUCUCGAAGUGUUAAUUGUGCUUUGCACGUAGUUGGUUCUCAUAAAUGUGUGGCAAAUUAAUGACAAUAGAUCAAUUAUCAUCCUGAAAGUAAGUGAUAUCUAGAUAUAAAAAGACACCCUUUCCUACGAUGUGAGGACAUGGUAAUUUUCUUAUA
Molecule: long non-coding RNA, 1576 nt
Filed under: Equus asinus (donkey)
Lineage: Eukaryota; Metazoa; Chordata; Mammalia; Perissodactyla; Equidae
Description: lncRNA (ENSEASG00005029734.1, ENSEASG00020017798.1)
Source: RNAcentral